GAUCCAGACUCCUACGGGAGGCAGCAGUGGGGAAUAUUGCACAAUGGGGGGAACCCUGAUGCAGCGACGCCGCGUGGGUGAAGGAGCACCUCGGUGCGUAAAGCCCUAUCGGCAGGGAAGAAACAGACGGUACCUGACUAAGAAGCCCCGACUAACUACGUGCCAGCAGCCGCGGUAAUACGUAGGUGGCAAGCGUUGUCCGGAAUUACUGGGUGUAAAGGGAGCGCAGGCGGGAAGCCAAGUCAGCUGUGAAAACUACGGGCUUAACUUGUAGACUGCAGUUGAAACUGGUUUUCUUGAGUGAAGUAGAGGUUGGCGGAAUUCCGAGUGUAGCGGUGAAAUGCGUAGAUAUUCGGAGGAACACCGGUGGCGAAGGCGGCCAACUGGGCUUUAACUGACGCUGAGGCUCGAAAGUGUGGGGAGCAAACAGGAUUAGAUACCCCGGUAC
RNAcentral lists this ribosomal RNA (448 nucleotides) under uncultured bacterium. RNAcentral's name for it is "bacterial SSU rRNA". It matches the Rfam family "Bacterial small subunit ribosomal RNA", at positions 328 to 793 of the family's 1533-position model. The record is from RNAcentral.